GGAAAAAGCGGGAACUGCUGCUAAUACCGGAUGUGCCGAAAGGUGAAAGAUUUAUUGCCUGAAGAUGAGCUCGCGUCUGAUUAGCUAGUAGGUGGGGUAAGAGCGCACCUAGGCGACGAUCAGUAGCUGGUCUGAGAGGACGAUCAGCCACACUGGGACUGAGACACGGCCCAGACUCCUACGGGAGGCAGCAGUGGGGAAUUUUCCGCAAUGGGCGAAAGCCUGACGGAGCAAUACCGCGUGAGGGAGGAAGGCUCUUGGGUUGUAAACCUCUUUUCUCAAGGAAGAAUACAGUGACGGUACUUGAGGAAUAAGCAUCGGCUAACUCCGUGCCAGCAGCCGCGGUAAUACGGAGGAUGCAAGCGUUAUCCGGAAUGAUUGGGCGUAAAGCGUCCGCAGGUGGCCAUGUAAGUCUGCUGUCAAAAGAGUGUAAGCUCACCCUCGUAAAAAGCAGUG
This 456-nucleotide ribosomal RNA is filed under the name Anabaenopsis sp. LCRNK40. RNAcentral describes it as "bacterial SSU rRNA". It matches the Rfam family "Bacterial small subunit ribosomal RNA", at positions 141 to 628 of the family's 1533-position model. The record is from RNAcentral. Lineage: Bacteria; Bacillati; Cyanobacteriota; Cyanophyceae; Nostocales; Nodulariaceae.